RNAcentral lists this ribosomal RNA (301 nucleotides) under uncultured bacterium. RNAcentral's name for it is "partial 16S ribosomal RNA". It matches the Rfam family "Bacterial small subunit ribosomal RNA", at positions 509 to 809 of the family's 1533-position model. The record is from RNAcentral.
CAGUAGCCGCGGGAAUACGUAGGGGGCAAGCGUUAUCCGGAAUUACUGGGUGUAAAGGGAGCGUAGACGGUUAAACAAGUCUGAAGUGAAAUGCCGGGGCUCAACCCCGGAGCUGCUUUGGGAACUGUAGAACUGGAGUGUCGGAGGGGUAAGCGGAAUUCCCAGUGUAGCGGUGAAAUGCGGAGAUAUUGGGAGGAACACCGGCGGCGAAGGCGGCUUACUGGACGACAACUGACGUUGAGGCUCGAAGGCGUGGGUAGCAAACAGGAUUAGAUACCCCGGUAGUCCCUGUCUCUUAUAA